This 478-nucleotide ribosomal RNA is filed under the name uncultured bacterium. RNAcentral's name for it is "partial 16S ribosomal RNA". It matches the Rfam family "Bacterial small subunit ribosomal RNA", at positions 28 to 507 of the family's 1533-position model. The record is from RNAcentral.
GAUGAACGCUGGCGGCGUGCUUAACACAUGCAAGUCGAACGAGAAAUGUAGACGGAUACCUUCGGGCGGAAGCCUUCAUUUCGAGGGGCGGACGGGGGAGUAACGCGUGUGGAACCUGCCUCAUACAGGGGGAUAACAGUUGGAAACGACUGUUAAUACCGCAUAAGACCACAGCAUCGCAUGAUGCGGUGGUUAAAACUCCGGUGGUAUGGGAUGGACCCGCGUUCGAUUAGCCUGUUGGCGGGGUAACGGCCCACCAAAGCGACGAUCGAUAGCCGAGCGGAGAGGAGGCCCGGCCACAACUGGGCUGAGACACAGACCAAACUCCUACGGGAGGCAGCAGUGGAGAAUAUUGCACAAUGGGGCAAACCCUGAUGCAGCGGCGUCGGGUGAGUGAAGAAGUACGUCGGUAUGUAAAGCUCUAUCAGCAGGGAAGAGAAUGACGGUACCUGAGUAAGAAGCCCCGGCUAACUACGUG